RNAcentral lists this long non-coding RNA (355 nucleotides) under Heterocephalus glaber (naked mole-rat). Its description in RNAcentral is "lncRNA (ENSHGLG00100046792.1)". Lineage: Eukaryota; Metazoa; Chordata; Mammalia; Rodentia; Bathyergidae. The record is from RNAcentral.
GUUCUGGAAGGAAGAUUACUACAUACUUUCCUGUAUGACAUUAAUUGAGAAAUCCUGGGCCAAUGUCUGUCUGAGGAAACGUAGAUCUGCCUGUUCACAGGAUAGAGACUUUGAAGACUGUGUAGAGGAGCUUUCAAUUGACCAACUUGAGUUACAACCAGCCCUUGGAAAUCAAUUGACAGUCUAGCAGCUUUGCACAACUGGUCUUGGCUGCUACUCUGCCUGGCAGUGUCUUUCUUUCAAUAGUGCCUUCACCACCAUCUCUCUCCAAGCACCACAGCAAAGGUACUGAAGGAUUUUUUUCUCCUCCAUAUAUUCAAUUCUGAUGGGAGAAAUACUAGUGCUUCAAUGAAAC